UACGAAGGGGGCUAGCGUUGCUCGGAAUUACUGGGCGUAAAGGGCGCGUAGGCGGCCCGCACAGUCAGGCGUGAAAAUCCUGGGCUCAACCCAGGGACUGCGCUUGAUACAUGCGGGCUAGAGGACGGAAGAGGCUCGCGGAAUUCCCAGUGUAGAGGUGAAAUUCGUAGAUAUUGGGAAGAACACCGGUGGCGAAGGCGGCGAGCUGGCCCGUUACUGACGCUGAGGCGCGACAGCGUGGGGAGCAAACAGG
Molecule: ribosomal RNA, 253 nt
Filed under: uncultured bacterium
Lineage: Bacteria
Description: partial 16S ribosomal RNA
Rfam family: Bacterial small subunit ribosomal RNA
Source: RNAcentral